RNAcentral lists this long non-coding RNA (1119 nucleotides) under Mytilus galloprovincialis (Mediterranean mussel). Lineage: Eukaryota; Metazoa; Mollusca; Bivalvia; Mytilida; Mytilidae. The record is from RNAcentral.
AAUAAGUCAUACAACUACAUAUUACGAUUUUUUUCAAUAUUAAACAAAAAUUUACCUUAAUUAUUAGGUUCUUUCACAUUGUGAACUGAUAACAACUGUAUAAGUUUAAAAGUGGAUGGAUAUACAGUUAUAUUUGUUUAUUUUUAUUGUUUCAAUUGCCAUGUACAUGUAUGAGGCUAAAAAAGGUCACCAUUUGUAAGGAUAUGAAGGUGUUUUACAGAUAUUAGAAUAAUGUACAAAAAAGUAAGUCUGGAAGCAAGACCAAAAAAAUAAAGAGGUGAUGAAGAAAAUAUUGAUUGAUUGUAUGUUGUUUAACGUCCAGUGGCAAAUAUUUGAUGCAUGUUGAGGACAAAUAUAAUAACAGAUCAAUUGGCAGUAAAAGAAAGUAUAAAGUGAAAUAGUAAAAACAAUAAAAAAAAAUCUAGAAAUAUAGAGAUAUAGAAACGAUGAUCUGACCCUCCCCCUUUUAAAAAACAACAACCAAAAAACAAAACACUCACACUCGCAUAUAAUUGUAAUAAGUUUAUUGCAAAUCAGCAUAUAAUAUAAUGCUAUAGCAUCAACAACAUAUAUUAUAUAGUAAGCGACAUAAUAUAAAUGAAAACAGAAAGCAAAAUAAUAACAAACAAAAAACAAAACCAACAUAUUAAACAAAUAGUAUUAUAUAUAAUCUACUUUAUCAGUUGUGACCGUAGUUUCCAGUUCUCAUUUAACAAACAACAAAGUUUUAAUACCAAAGUUCUUGAACAUGUUUGAAUAAGUGAUAAACAUUUUGACAUAUUAGGCCAAGAACAAUAAUAUUUAGGCAAAAAUCUUAAACGCAGAUGUCUAUAGGCUGGACAAAUCAUUACAAAAUGAUAUUCAUUUUCAAUAGCUUUCAUAUUGCAACAUUGACAUAGUCUUUCAUUACGAGGCACAUUAUUAUAUCUACCAGUUUCAAUGUUGAGUUUAAGUGAACCACAUCUAAGUUGUGUUAAGAGUUUAACAUUGACAUCAAGAAGUAAAUAUUUUUCCAAACAAAAGUCAAUUUUGAACAUUUUCAAAAUAUCCAAUUUUUCACAAUCCAACAUACUAGAACGCCAGCUUUGUAUAAACUGAUCAUAGAGGCGUAGUUUCAAA